CUGCCCGAGGUGCGUGCCAGCCAGGCCAGGCUGCCCUUUCGCCCCCUGCGCGGUUAGCACCACCCGAAGCCGAGACCCACGUGGCCUCCCCAGCCCGCCCACCCCGGAAGCCUGGGACGAGAGAGCCCGAGACACGGAGGCCGCGCGCUUACCUGAGGAGAAAGGCGAGAAUGCAGCAGGAAAAGUGGUACAGUAAUACAAUGGAAUACAAUGCAGCAAUGAAAAAGACGAAAGCCUGCUACACACAUGCACCCAAUGUGGAGUGAAAGUAGCCAACAGAAUAAAGAAACAUUUAUGCCCUGGCUACUGGUGUGGCUCAGUGGGUUGAGCACUGGACUUCGAACCAAAGUGCUGCUGGUUCAAUUCCCAGUCAGGGCACAUACCUGGAAUGCGGGCCUGGUCCCCAGUACAGGGCAUGCAAGAGGUAACCACACAAUGAUAUUUCUUUCCUCUUUCUCUGUCCCGCCUCCUCUGUCUAAAAGAUAAAUAUAUAAAGUCUUUAAAAAAUAAAUAAACAUUUAAAAAUGAAACUUACCAUCUUAAUCAUUUUAAGGGUACAACGUGGUGGCAUUAAGUACACUCACAAGGUGUGCAACUAUUCCCCCCAUCCAUUUCCAGAACUUCCUCAUAUCCAGAACUUUCUCAUAUACAGAGUUUUCCCAAUCUGAAACUUCAUCCCUAUUA
Artibeus jamaicensis (Jamaican fruit-eating bat) is the source of this 684-nucleotide long non-coding RNA. RefSeq lists it as uncharacterized. The transcript has 3 exons. The record is from RefSeq and is a predicted model, not a curated record. Lineage: Eukaryota; Metazoa; Chordata; Mammalia; Chiroptera; Phyllostomidae.